AUCCCAGAAUUUUUCAUUUGCUCUCAUAACCCAGGGAUAUCAAACUCAGUUGCACUGGGGGCCAUAUCAGCCUCGCAGGUGCCUUCAAAGGGCUAAA
Phyllostomus discolor (pale spear-nosed bat) is the source of this 97-nucleotide long non-coding RNA. RefSeq lists it as uncharacterized. The record is from RefSeq and is a predicted model, not a curated record. The transcript has 4 exons. NCBI's taxonomy places the organism in Eukaryota, Metazoa, Chordata, Mammalia, Chiroptera, Phyllostomidae.